AUGAAGGAGCUCAGAGCCAAUGUAGAGGAUGUCAGCCAGAGGAACAUGCGCUACAACCUCAUCAAGGGCUCUGGAUCCAAGGCCGCCAUGGCUCUAGAGCAGUCUAGCAUUUCUUCUACAGCACUGUUUGGCAUCGAUGAAGCAAGGCAUGCGGUGAAGCAGGAGAUAUCAAAGGUAGAUCUUUUUCAGCUGAUCAACGGGAAGGAGAAUGACCUUAGGGUAAUUGCAGUGUGGGGAACAAGUGCUGAUCUCGGGCAAACUUCCAUCAUCAGGACGAUGUAUGAGGAUCCAGAUAUUAAAAGCAAGUUCUCGUGCCGAGCUUGGGUCAGAGUGAUUCAUCCUUUUAAUCCAAAAGACUUUGUUCAGAGUUUGGUGCAGCAAUUUCAUGCAGCCGUAGGGGUUGAUGCUCUGUUGAAAAUGGAGAAGACGUUGCAAGAGUUGGCUGAAGAGUUUAAUGGACAUGUGAACAGUAAAAGAUACCUGAUUGUUCUUAACGACCUGUCCACUGUUGAGGAGUGGGAUCUGAUUAAAAGGUGCUUCCCAGACAAGACUAUGGGGAGCAGGAUCAUAGUGUCUACAGGUCAAGUUGAAGUUGCAAGAUUAUGUGCAGGGCGAGAAAGCAUAGUAUCAGUACUUAGGUGCAUGUCUGCUGAUCAGAGUAUUUAUGCUUUCCACAAGAAGGUCUCUCAAGAUGGAACAGGUUUAGAGUCAAGCUCAGACCGUGUCACUACCACUAAAGAUAAAAACUCUAUAGUGCCCACUGGUGAAAUAUUAGAGGAUCAAUUCAGAGGUGCUCCUGAAAAAAAUAUCAUAAAAAAGAGCUUCACUCGCACCAGGACGAUGAUGACUGCUUUGGAGGAAUCUCAUCUUGUUGGGCGAGAAAAAGAAAAAGAUGAGAUUAUCAAGCUUAUUUCAGAUCAAGCUACCCAAAAAUACCAGGUGAUCUCUGUGUGGGGAAUGGGUGGUCUAGGAAAGACCACUCUAGUCAAAGAUAUCUACGAAAACCAAGAGCUGAGUAGCACAUUUGAGAAGCGUGCUUGUGUCACAGUUAUGCGUCCUUUUAAUCUUGAAGGUCUUCUUAGGAGUUUAAUUAUGCAACUUGACACAGAAUCUUCAGAUAAGAAAGACGUGGUUGGUUCGAUGGGCAAGGCAAGGAACACAUUACUACUGAUGCCACCAAUAGCACUUAUUAAGGAGAUGGAAAGGCUUAUAGAAGGAAAGAGGUGCUUGAUUGUUCUUGAUGAUGUAUUGAUGUAUCAUCUACUGCAGAAUGGAACAUGA
This 1281-nucleotide ribosomal RNA is filed under the name Triticum aestivum (bread wheat). RNAcentral describes it as "partial small subunit ribosomal RNA". The record is from RNAcentral. Lineage: Eukaryota; Viridiplantae; Streptophyta; Magnoliopsida; Poales; Poaceae.